GGAUCAGCAGGUUCGGUCGUGCCAACUGGUAUGUACUAGGCUUCGCUGAUCUCCUCCUUCUUGUAGAACCGUAAUGCCAUUAAUUUGGUGUUGCGGGGAAACAGGACUGUUACUUUGAAAAAAUUAGAGUGUUUAAAGCAGGCUAGCGCCUGAAUACAUUAGCAUGGAAUAAUGAAAUAGGACGUUCGAACCUAUUUUGUUGGUUCUCUAGGAUUGACGUA
Molecule: ribosomal RNA, 221 nt
Filed under: uncultured Glomus
Lineage: Eukaryota; Fungi; Glomeromycota; Glomeromycetes; Glomerales; Glomeraceae
Description: partial 18S rRNA
Rfam family: Eukaryotic small subunit ribosomal RNA (bases 24-221)
Source: RNAcentral